RNAcentral lists this long non-coding RNA (886 nucleotides) under Equus asinus (donkey). RNAcentral's name for it is "lncRNA (ENSEASG00005033804.1)". The record is from RNAcentral. Lineage: Eukaryota; Metazoa; Chordata; Mammalia; Perissodactyla; Equidae.
GUCGUGCCCGCUGAAGCUAGGGCGGUUUGGUUGGUCCCCGACUUCCACUGGGCGGCUGGAGGGAUGAGUUGGUCCAGAGAUGCUCGUGGCGGAGUGAGUGCCCACUGGACCGUGUUGGUGACCUCCUUUUGGACCUGCCUGCCAAUUUCGGCCUUUGAGCGGCCGUUUUCAAGAAAUUAAUUUUAAAAAUGUAAUUGACGCAUUAAAGGAAGGAAAAAGAAGAGGCCCAGGAGACUCAUGAUGUAAUGUUUAGAAAAGAACAGGAGAAAAUGUCUGGAGAGAAAAAGAGCCAAUCCUAGGCCUGUGUGUGGAAACAGCUAGAGAGAUGGAUCCCUCCAGUACAUAGUUGUAUAUUUUAGUGGUGGGUCCUUCUAGUUGUGGCAUGUGGGAUGCUGCCUCAGCGUGGCCUGAUGAGCGGUGCCGUGUCUGUGCCCAGGAUCUGACUGGUGAAACUCUGGGCUGCCGAAGCGGAGCAUGCAGACUUAACCACUCAGCCACGGGGCCGGCCCCAGUUUGUGUAUUUUAAUGAUUUACCAUUAAAAGGACCAGUUUACAAGAAGAAAAUUAACACCAGCACAGAUGGAUUAAUUUUACCCCUUAAAUAGGGUUUUUUUUUUGCCAUAUGGAUAAUCAUGCACAAACAGCAUCUUUUUCUUCAGUCUGUAAUAGUUCUACCAAAAGGGAAGUCUUAACAGGAACAAUAUGUAUUAAUAAAGAACACAAACACAGAAUUACUAAAUAUUUUGAUUUACAUUCUUGGCUCCACAUUGCUGCAUUGGGAGAGCAUUUAUUAUCUGAGACUAUCCCUCUGUUCUGAGGGAAUAAGAAAUAGUAUACCUAAGGAUGGCUCUCUUUGUAGCCAGGAAAAGGUAGAUUACCAUUCUAG